UCUAACCCCAUGUCCUGCUUGUGAAGUGA
Molecule: non-coding RNA, 29 nt
Filed under: Rattus norvegicus (Norway rat)
Lineage: Eukaryota; Metazoa; Chordata; Mammalia; Rodentia; Muridae
Source: RNAcentral